UACAGAGGGUGCAAGCGUUGUCCGGAAUCACUGGGCGUAAAGGGCGCGUAGGCGGCCCGAUAAGUAGGGGGUGAAAUCUUGCGGCUCAACCUGGGAACUGCAUUCGAUACUGCCGAGCUAGAGUGUGGGAGAGGGUGGUGGAAUUCCCGGUGUAGCGGUGAAAUGCGUAGAUAUCGGGAGGAACAUCAGUGGCGAAGGCGACCGCCUGGCCCAACACUGACGCUGAGGUGCGAAAGCGUGGGUAGCAAACAGG
This 253-nucleotide ribosomal RNA is filed under the name uncultured bacterium. Its description in RNAcentral is "partial 16S ribosomal RNA". It matches the Rfam family "Bacterial small subunit ribosomal RNA", at positions 524 to 776 of the family's 1533-position model. The record is from RNAcentral.